GAUGAACGCUGGCGGCGUGCCUAAUACAUGCAAGUCGAACGCUUCACUUCGGUGAAGAGUGGCGAACGGGUGAGUAAUACAUAAGUAACCUGGCAUCUACAGGGGGAUAACUGAUGGAAACGUCAGCUAAGACCGCAUAGGUGUAGAGAUCGCAUGAACUCUAUAUGAAAAGUGCUACGGGACUGGUAGAUGAUGGACUUAUGGCGCAUUAGCUGGUUGGUAGGGUAACGGCCUACCAAGGCGACGAUGCGUAGCCGACCUGAGAGGGUGACCGGCCACACUGGGACUGAGACACGGCCCAGACUCCUGCGGGAGGCAGCAGUAGGGAAUUUUCGGCAAUGGGGGAAACCCUGACCGAGCAACGCCGCGUGAAGGAAGAAGUAAUUCGUUAUGUAAACUUCUGUCAUAGAGGAAGAACGGUGGAUAUAGGGAAUGAUAUCCAAGUGACGGUACUCUAUAAGAAAGCCACGGCUAACUACGUGCCAGCCGCCGCGGUAA
This 498-nucleotide ribosomal RNA is filed under the name uncultured bacterium. RNAcentral's name for it is "partial 16S ribosomal RNA". It matches the Rfam family "Bacterial small subunit ribosomal RNA", at positions 28 to 523 of the family's 1533-position model. The record is from RNAcentral.